GAGAGUUUGAUCCUGGCUCAGAUUGAACGCUGGCGGCAUGCUUUACACAUGCAAGUCGAACGGCAGCACGGGCUUCGGCCUGGUGGCGAGUGGCGAACGGGUGAGUAAUACAUCGGAACGUACCCAGAAGUGGGGGAUAACGUAGCGAAAGUUACGCUAAUACCGCAUACGUUCUACGGAAGAAAGUGGGGGAUCGCAAGACCUCAUGCUUUUGGAGCGGCCGAUGUCUGAUUAGCUAGUUGGUGAGGUAAAAGCUCACCAAGGCGACGAUCAGUAGCUGGUCUGAGAGGACGACCAGCCACACUGGAACUGAGACACGGUCCAGACUCCUACGGGAGGCAGCAGUGGGGAAUUUUGGACAAUGGGCGCAAGCCUGAUCCAGCAAUGCCGCGUGAGUGAAGAAGGCUUUCGGGUUGUAAAGCUCUUUUGUCAGGGAAGAAACGGUAGAGGCUAAUAUCCUUUGCUAAUGACGGUACCUGAAGAAUAAGCACCGGCUAACUACGUGCCAGCAGCCGCGGUAAUACGUAGGGUGCAAGCGUUAAUCGGAAUUACUGGGCGUAAAGCGUGCGCAGGCGGUUUUGUAAGUCUGACGUGAAAGCCCCGGGCUCAACCUGGGAAUUGCGUUGGAGACUGCAAGGCUUGAAUCUGGCAGAGGGGGGUAGAAUUCCACGUGUAGCAGUGAAAUGCGUAGAGAUGUGGAGGAACACCGAUGGCGAGGGCAGCCCCCCUGGGUCAAGAUUGACGCUCAUGCACGAAAGCGUGGGGAGCAAACAGGNAUUAGAUACCCUGGUAGUCCACGCCCCUAAACGAUGUCUACUAGUUGUCGGGNUUUUAAUUAACUUGGUAACNCANCUAACGCGUGAAGUANACCGCCUGGGGGAGUACGGUCNCAAAANUUAAACUCAAAGGAAUUGACG
RNAcentral lists this ribosomal RNA (917 nucleotides) under uncultured bacterium. RNAcentral describes it as "bacterial SSU rRNA". It matches the Rfam family "Bacterial small subunit ribosomal RNA", at positions 8 to 915 of the family's 1533-position model. The record is from RNAcentral.